This 941-nucleotide ribosomal RNA is filed under the name archaeon enrichment culture clone C4-52C-A. RNAcentral describes it as "bacterial SSU rRNA". It matches the Rfam family "Archaeal small subunit ribosomal RNA", at positions 1 to 922 of the family's 1478-position model. The record is from RNAcentral.
UCCGGUUGAUCCCGCCGGACCCCACUGCUAUCGGGAUAGGACUAAGACAUGCUAGUCGUGUGCCUCAGCCAAAACGAGGCACGGCGCACAGCUCAGUAACACGUGGCUAACCUGCCCUUAGGACGAGAAUAACCCCGGGAAACUGGGGCUAAUGCUCGAUAGGUGAAGAACUCUGGAAUGAGUCUUCACUUAAAAGAGUCUGCGUUAUGCUCGUAGAUUUCGCCCAAGGAUGGGGCCGCGACCGAUCAGGUUGUUGGCGAGGUAAUGGCUCACCAAGCCUUUUACCGGUGCGGGCCGUGAGAGCGGGAGCCCGGAGAUGGGCACUGAGACAGGGGCCCAGGCCCUACGGGGCGCAGCAGUCGCGAAAACUUUGCAAUACACGAAAGUGUGACAGGGCUAUCCCGAGUGCCAUCCGCUGAGGAAGGCUUUUACCCAGUCUAGAAAGCUGGGGGAAUAAGGAGAGGGCAAGUCUGGUGUCAGCCGCCGCGGUAAUACCAGCUCUCCGAGUGGUGUGGAUGUUUAUUGGGCCUAAAGCAUCCGUAGCUGGCUAAGUUAGUCCCCUGUUAAAUCCAACGAAUUAAUCGUUGGAUCGCGGGGGAUACUGCUUGGCUAGGGGACGAGAGAGGCAGACGGUAUUUCCGGGGUAGGGGUGAAAUCCUAUAAUCCCGGGAAGACCACCAGUGGCGAAGGCUGUCUGCUAGAACGCGCCCGACGGUGAGGGAUGAAAGCUGGGGGGAGCGAACCGGAUUAGAUACCCGGGUAGUCCCAGCUGUAAACGAUGCAGGCUAGGUGUUUGGACGGCCACGUGCCGUUCUAGUGCCGCAGGGAAGCUGUUAAGCCUGCCGCCUGGGGAGUACGAUCGCAAGAUUGAAACUUAAAGGAAUUGGCGGGGGAGCACCACAAGGGGUGAAGCUUGCGGUUUAAUUGGAUUCAACGCCGGG